Molecule: ribosomal RNA, 660 nt
Filed under: Sphingomonas sp. As2-3
Lineage: Bacteria; Pseudomonadati; Pseudomonadota; Alphaproteobacteria; Sphingomonadales; Sphingomonadaceae
Description: bacterial SSU rRNA
Rfam family: Bacterial small subunit ribosomal RNA
Source: RNAcentral
CAUGCCUAACACAUGCAAGUCGAACGAGACCUUCGGGUCUAGUGGCGCACGGGUGCGUAACGCGUGGGAAUCUGCCCUUGGGUUCGGAAUAACUCAGAGAAAUUUGAGCUAAUACCGGAUGAUGUCGAAAGACCAAAGAUUUAUCGCCCGAGGAUGAGCCCGCGUAGGAUUAGCUAGUUGGUGAGGUAAAGGCUCACCAAGGCGACGAUCCUUAGCUGGUCUGAGAGGAUGAUCAGCCACACUGGGACUGAGACACGGCCCAGACUCCUACGGGAGGCAGCAGUGGGGAAUAUUGGACAAUGGGCGCAAGCCUGAUCCAGCAAUGCCGCGUGAGUGAUGAAGGCCCUAGGGUUGUAAAGCUCUUUUACCCGGGAUGAUAAUGACAGUACCGGGAGAAUAAGCCCCGGCUAACUCCGUGCCAGCAGCCGCGGUAAUACGGAGGGGGCUAGCGUUGUUCGGAAUUACUGGGCGUAAAGCGCACGUAGGCGGCUUUGUAAGUUAGAGGUGAAAGCCUGGAGCUCAACUUCAGAAUAGCCUUUAAGACUGCAUCGCUUGAAUCCAGGAGAGGUGAGUGGAAUUCCGAGUGUAGAGGUGAAAUUCGUAGAUAUUCGGAAGAACACCAGUGGCGAAGGCGGCUCACUGGACUGGUAUUGACGCUGA